CAGCCGUAAACUAUGCUCGCUAGGUGUCAGGCAAGGCGCGACCGUGGUCUGGGUGCCGCAGGGAAGCCGUGAAGCGAGCCACCUGGGAAGUACGGCCGCAAGGCUGAAACUUAAGGAUUGGCGGGGGAGCACAACAACGGGUGGAGCCUGCGGUUUAAUUGGACUCAACGCCGGACAACUCACCGGGGGACGACAGCAAUAUGUAGGCCAGGCUGAAGACCUUGCCUGAAUCGCUGAGAGGUGGUGCAUGGCGUAGACGUCU
This 262-nucleotide ribosomal RNA is filed under the name uncultured archaeon. Its description in RNAcentral is "partial 16S ribosomal RNA". It matches the Rfam family "Archaeal small subunit ribosomal RNA", at positions 748 to 1009 of the family's 1478-position model. The record is from RNAcentral.